CUCUCACCAUGUGAUGCACCUGCUCCUCGUUUGCUUUCCACCUGAUUGUAAGGUUCCUGAGGCCUUACCAGAAGCCAAGCAAAUGUUGGUGCCGUGCUUAUACAGCCUGCAGAACUGCCGAAGAAUGGAGGUUAUGUUAGCAGAUAUGAAAAACCCAUCAAUUUCCUUGUACAUCUCCAUCAGAGGUCUUGGAUGAUCAGCUUCCUAAGGAGCUCAGCUCAGGGGUGAAGGGCAUCCUCUUUGAGGAACAACACUGCAGGCUCGAUAUGAGUUCU
Long non-coding RNA from Gorilla gorilla gorilla (western lowland gorilla), 275 nucleotides. RefSeq lists it as uncharacterized. The transcript is spliced from 3 exons. NCBI's taxonomy places the organism in Eukaryota, Metazoa, Chordata, Mammalia, Primates, Hominidae. The record is from RefSeq and is a predicted model, not a curated record.